This 466-nucleotide ribosomal RNA is filed under the name uncultured bacterium. Its description in RNAcentral is "partial 16S ribosomal RNA". It matches the Rfam family "Bacterial small subunit ribosomal RNA", at positions 28 to 507 of the family's 1533-position model. The record is from RNAcentral.
GAUGAACGCUGGCGGCGUGCUUAACACAUGCAAGUCGAACGAUGAAGCCCAGCUUGCUGGGUGGAUUAGUGGCGAACGGGUGAGUAACACGUGAGUAACCUGCCCUUGACUCUGGGAUAAGCCUGGGAAACUGGGUCUAAUACUGGAUAUGACUUCUCAUCGCAUGGUGGGGGGUGGAAAGAUUUAUUGGUCUUGGAUGGACUCGCGGCCUAUCAGCUUGUUGGUGAGGUAAUGGCUCACCAAGGCGACGACGGGUAGCCGGCCUGAGAGGGUGACCGGCCACACUGGGACUGAGACACGGCCCAGACUCCUACGGGAGGCAGCAGUGGGGAAUAGUGCACAAUGGGCGCAAGCCUGAUGCAGCGACGCCGCGUGAGGGAUGACGGCCUUCGGGUUGUAAACCUCUUUCAGUAGGGAAGAAGCGAGAGUGACGGUACCUGCAGAAGAAGCGCCGGCUAACUACGUG